RNAcentral lists this unclassified non-coding RNA (364 nucleotides) under Hevea brasiliensis (rubber tree). Lineage: Eukaryota; Viridiplantae; Streptophyta; Magnoliopsida; Malpighiales; Euphorbiaceae. The record is from RNAcentral.
CGCGCGCUCGAAAAGGAGCCUAAUGUCACUCCAAAAUUCUGCUCUUUUUUCAAGUUUCGAUCGAUCAAAACCCUAAUUCCUCGAUCCAAUGCUUUGAAACCAAAUUUACAGAUUCUUAAACCCUAAUUGAGUUCCUUUUGUGCCCUGUAUUCGAAUUGUUCUCGAAUCUGAACACACGCAAAGGAUAGAAACAAAAACCCUAAAAUUUCUUAAGCACUGGCUAUGGACGCCAAGGACAUUCUAGGAUUGCCCAAAACUCCAUUGCCAAUAACGCAAGAAAAAAAAUCCCAACCCAAGAAGGACUCCCAGAGAAAACCCGAUGGCAUUUCCCGCGAGGUUUAUGCGCUUACUGGCGGCUUGGCAC